Molecule: ribosomal RNA, 253 nt
Filed under: uncultured bacterium
Lineage: Bacteria
Description: partial 16S ribosomal RNA
Rfam family: Bacterial small subunit ribosomal RNA
Source: RNAcentral
UACAGAGGGGGCAAGCGUUAUUCGGAAUUAUUGGGCGUAAAGGGCGCGUAGGCGGCUUUUCAAGUGACGGGUGAAAUCCCUCGGCUUAACCGAGGAACUGCCUGUCAGACUGGAAGGCUUGAGACCGGGAGAGGUGAGUGGAAUUCCCAGUGUAGCGGUGAAAUGCGUAGAUAUUGGGAGGAACACCAGUGGCGAAGGCGGCUCACUGGACCGGAACUGACACUGAGGCACGAAAGCGUGGGGAGCAAACAGG